This 1420-nucleotide ribosomal RNA is filed under the name uncultured bacterium. RNAcentral's name for it is "bacterial SSU rRNA". It matches the Rfam family "Bacterial small subunit ribosomal RNA". The record is from RNAcentral.
AGAGUUUGAUCCUGGCUCAGGACGAACGCUGGCGGCGUGCCUAAUACAUGCAAGUCGAACGCUUCUUUUUCCACCGGAGCUUGCUCCACCGGAAAAAGAGGAGUGGCGAACGGGUGAGUAACACGUGGGUAACCUGCCCAUCAGAAGGGGAUAACACUUGGAAACAGGUGCUAAUACCGUAUAACAAUCGAAACCGCAUGGUUUUGAUUUGAAAGGCGCUUUCGGGUGUCGCUGAUGGAUGGACCCGCGGUGCAUUAGCUAGUUGGUGAGGUAACGGCUCACCAAGGCGACGAUGCAUAGCCGACCUGAGAGGGUGAUCGGCCACAUUGGGACUGAGACACGGCCCAAACUCCUACGGGAGGCAGCAGUAGGGAAUCUUCGGCAAUGGACGAAAGUCUGACCGAGCAACGCCGCGUGAGUGAAGAAGGUUUUCGGAUCGUAAAACUCUGUUGUUAGAGAAGAACAAGGAUGAGAGUAACUGUUCAUCCCCUGACGGUAUCUAACCAGAAAGCCACGGCUAACUACGUGCCAGCAGCCGCGGUAAUACGUAGGUGGCAAGCGUUGUCCGGAUUUAUUGGGCGUAAAGCGAGCGCAGGCGGUUUCUUAAGUCUGAUGUGAAAGCCCCCGGCUCAACCGGGGAGGGUCAUUGGAAACUGGGAGACUUGAGUGCAGAAGAGGAGAGUGGAAUUCCAUGUGUAGCGGUGAAAUGCGUAGAUAUAUGGAGGAACACCAGUGGCGAAGGCGGCUCUCUGGUCUGUAACUGACGCUGAGGCUCGAAAGCGUGGGGAGCAAACAGGAUUAGAUACCCUGGUAGUCCACGCCGUAAACGAUGAGUGCUAAGUGUUGGAGGGUUUCCGCCCUUCAGUGCUGCAGCUAACGCAUUAAGCACUCCGCCUGGGGAGUACGACCGCAAGGUUGAAACUCAAAGGAAUUGACGGGGGCCCGCACAAGCGGUGGAGCAUGUGGUUUAAUUCGAAGCAACGCGAAGAACCUUACCAGGUCUUGACAUCCUUUGACCACUCUAGAGAUAGAGCUUCCCCUUCGGGGGCAAAGUGACAGGUGGUGCAUGGUUGUCGUCAGCUCGUGUCGUGAGAUGUUGGGUUAAGUCCCGCAACGAGCGCAACCCUUAUUGUUAGUUGCCAUCAUUUAGUUGGGCACUCUAGCAAGACUGCCGGUGACAAACCGGAGGAAGGUGGGGAUGACGUCAAAUCAUCAUGCCCCUUAUGACCUGGGCUACACACGUGCUACAAUGGGAAGUACAACGAGUCGCAAAGUCGCGAGGCUAAGCUAAUCUCUUAAAGCUUCUCUCAGUUCGGAUUGUAGGCUGCAACUCGCCUACAUGAAGCCGGAAUCGCUAGUAAUCGCGGAUCAGCACGCCGCGGUGAAUACGUUCCCGGGCCUUGCACACACCGCCCGUCAA